Molecule: ribosomal RNA, 268 nt
Filed under: uncultured prokaryote
Description: partial 16S ribosomal RNA
Rfam family: Bacterial small subunit ribosomal RNA
Source: RNAcentral
UACGUAGGGGCGAGCGUUGUCCGGAAUUAUUGGGCGUAAAGGGUACGCAGGCGGUUCUUUAAGUCUGAUGUGAAAUCUCACAGCUUAACUGUGAGCGGUCAUUGGAAACUGAGGAACUUGAGUAUAGAAGAGAAGAGUGGAAUUCCAAGUGUAGCGGUGAAAUGCGUAGAUAUUUGGAGGAACACCAGUGGCGAAGGCGACUUACUGGACUGUAACUGACGCUGAGUCGCGAAAGCGUGGGUAGCAAACAGGAUUAGAUACCCUGGUA